GACGAACGCUGGCGGCGUGCCUAAUACAUGCAAGUAGAACGCUGAAGAGAGGAGCUUGCUCUUCUUGGAUGAGUUGCGAACGGGUGAGUAACGCGUAGGUAACCUGCCUUGUAGCGGGGGAUAACUAUUGGAAACGAUAGCUAAUACCGCAUAACAAUGGAUGACACAUGUCAUUUAUUUGAAAGGGGCAAAUGCUCCACUACAAGAUGGACCUGCGUUGUAUUAGCUAGUAGGUGAGGUAACGGCUCACCUAGGCGACGAUACAUAGCCGACCUGAGAGGGUGAUCGGCCACACUGGGACUGAGACACGGCCCAGACUCCUACGGGAGGCAGCAGUAGGGAAUCUUCGGCAAUGGGGGCAACCCUGACCGAGCAACGCCGCGUGAGUGAAGAAGGUUUUCGGAUCGUAAAGCUCUGUUGUAAGUCAAGAACGAGUGUGAGAGUGGAAAGUUCACACUGUGACGGUAGCUUACCAGAAAGGGACGGCUAACUACGUGCCAGCAGCCGCGGUAAUACGUAGGUCCCGAGCGUUGUCCGGAUUUAUUGGGCGUAAAGCGAGCGCAGGCGGUUUGAUAAGUCUGAAGUUAAAGGCUGUGGCUCAACCAUAGUUCGCUUUGGAAACUGUCAAACUUGAGUGCAGAAGGGGAGAGUGGAAUUCCAUGUGUAGCGGUGAAAUGCGUAGAUAUAUGGAGGAACACCGGUGGCGAAAGCGGCUCUCUGGUCUGUAACUGACGCUGAGGCUCGAAAGCGUGGGGAGCGAACAGGAUUAGAUACCCUGGUAGUCCACGCCGUAAACGAUGAGUGCUAGGUGUUGGAUCCUUUCCGGGAUUCAGUGCCGCAGCUAACGCAUUAAGCACUCCGCCUGGGGAGUACGACCGCAAGGUUGAAACUCAAAGGAAUUGACGGGGGCCCGCACAAGCGGUGGAGCAUGUGGUUUAAUUCGAAGCAACGCGAAGAACCUUACCAGGUCUUGACAUCCCGAUGCUAUUUCUAGAGAUAGAAAGUUACUUCGGUACAUCGGUGACAGGUGGUGCAUGGUUGUCGUCAGCUCGUGUCGUGAGAUGUUGGGUUAAGUCCCGCAACGAGCGCAACCCCUAUUGUUAGUUGCCAUCAUUCAGUUGGGCACUCUAGCGAGACUGCCGGUAAUAAACCGGAGGAAGGUGGGGAUGACGUCAAAUCAUCAUGCCCCUUAUGACCUGGGCUACACACGUGCUACAAUGGUUGGUACAACGAGUUGCGAGUCGGUGACGGCAAGCUAAUCUCUUAAAGCCAAUCUCAGUUCGGAUUGUAGGCUGCAACUCGCCUACAUGAAGUCGGAAUCGCUAGUAAUCGCGGAUCAGCACGCCGCGGUGAAUACGUUCCCGGGCCUUGUACACACCGCCCGUCACGCCACGAGAGUUUGUAACACCCGAAGUCGGUGAGGUAACCUUUUGGAGCCAGCCGCCUAAGGUGG
Molecule: ribosomal RNA, 1453 nt
Filed under: uncultured organism
Description: 16S ribosomal RNA
Rfam family: Bacterial small subunit ribosomal RNA
Source: RNAcentral